Molecule: long non-coding RNA, 356 nt
Organism: Ornithodoros turicata
Lineage: Eukaryota; Metazoa; Arthropoda; Arachnida; Ixodida; Argasidae
Exons: 3
Source: RefSeq, a predicted model, not a curated record
GAGGAUAGAUUAUAUUUAAAGCGUGUCUCAGACGAGCCCAGUACCUGGCCUACACGAAGGAGAGGCAAGAAUUGCACUAAACCUAAUUCGAAGAUGAAGUUGGUUCUCGUCGCCAUGAUUGUCCUGACUCUGAUCGGCACCGCACGGUGCUGUGACUGCCACUUCUCACCUCUUGAUGAUUGCAUUGACCAAGGGUGUAAUCAAGGAGACCCGAAAAACCUCCGUUGCAGCCACGACUGUAUGUGUUCCAAGUCUUUCUGCGGUUCUGGCUAUCACUAUUACUGCCAAAAAAGUCACCACGGCUGAGAAGGCGGACGAACAUGGAGCCGACUGCAAUAAAUGUUGCCGAAACAUCC